Molecule: long non-coding RNA, 742 nt
Organism: Helianthus annuus (common sunflower)
Lineage: Eukaryota; Viridiplantae; Streptophyta; Magnoliopsida; Asterales; Asteraceae
Exons: 3
Source: RefSeq, a predicted model, not a curated record
AGUCGCACAUAGCGAAAUCCCUUUCCCCAUUUCCCUCCUUUGUCUGAUCAGAACACCCGGCGGCCAAAGAUGGAUUCCGACGCCCCUCUCUUUCAGACCGAAAAGCAAUCCUAAACAUCCUACUUUCUUCUAUGUCUACCUCACCCACACUCACGAAACCCACUGUUUUUGGUAUCAUCUUCGUACACGCACCCAGAAAUUAGAGAAAGAGAGAGACUGAACUAAUAGAAAGAGAUAGGCUGGAGGAGCGGGAGACGACGACGGUGGCGCCAUCGGCGAAGCAGUGGCACAGUAGCUCCGAUUGUGGUGAUGGCAGCGGUGGUGGCUGACGGCGGCGGUGGCCGCCGGGCCACAGCGGCGAAGAUUUGUAUCCGCGAUCAGUUCCGGUAGAUGAUGUUAGCAGAUGGGACGAUGGCUGUGUAUAACUCUUCAGUUCACAAGUUGAUCGGGUGGAAUGGCUACUACCAUGGCUUAAGUUUAUUAUGUACCCUUGAUCUUAGUUCCACUUUUGUUUCAAUUGGCAAAUGAUUAUAGAAUCUUGCUUCUUCUCAUGGGAGCUGUUGGUUUAGCAAGAUGGAAGUCAUCUGUUGCAAACCAGUGUAAGGAGGGUGAAGGACCAAAUGGUGAACGUGAUAUGAAACUUUGUAUAAUGGGAGUUGGUGAUAACCAUCAAGAAUGACACAAUUGAUGAGGAUAUUAUUUAUGAGCACAAUGAACUUUCGAGUUUUUAUUUAAAUAUUUG